RNAcentral lists this ribosomal RNA (253 nucleotides) under uncultured Verrucomicrobium sp. Its description in RNAcentral is "partial 16S ribosomal RNA". It matches the Rfam family "Bacterial small subunit ribosomal RNA", at positions 524 to 776 of the family's 1533-position model. Lineage: Bacteria; Pseudomonadati; Verrucomicrobiota; Verrucomicrobiia; Verrucomicrobiales; Verrucomicrobiaceae. The record is from RNAcentral.
UACAGAGGUCUCAAGCGUUGUUCGGAAUCACUGGGCGUAAAGGGUGCGCAGGCGGCGCGGAAAGUCAGAUGUGAAAUCCGGAGGCUCAACCUCCGAAUAGCAUCCGAUACUUCCGCGCUUGAGAGUUGUAGGGGAGCUUGGAAUUCUCGGUGUAGCAGUGAAAUGCGUGGAUAUCGAGAAGAACACUCGCGGCGAAGGCGAAGCUCUGGGCAACAUCUGACGCUCAUGCACGAGGGCUAGGGGAGCAAACGGG